RNAcentral lists this long non-coding RNA (1521 nucleotides) under Anas platyrhynchos platyrhynchos (common mallard). Its description in RNAcentral is "lncRNA (ENSAPLG00000027796.1)". The record is from RNAcentral. Lineage: Eukaryota; Metazoa; Chordata; Aves; Anseriformes; Anatidae.
UGUAGGGGCCAGAUGUGACCACAAAACGUCUGGUUAGUUGAGCUGCUCGUCCUUUUAGCUGUCCAGUGCAUUUGACCGAAAUGGGUUCCUUCUCCCCCAUGCUCAGACCGUCUUCCAGCGACAGCCAGGUCCCGGAUUCAGGCGAGUACCACUGCAAAAAUAACCAAAUUUCUUCCUUUUCUCACAGAAGCAACCACGGUGGUAGUGUGGAUGCCUGGCCCUCCUGGGAGGCGAAGGAAGGGCAGUGGGAGAAAAGCUUUGAAUCCUCAAAUCGUCAUUCUUUCUUUCGCGGGGAGGGGAAGGGGGAGGUAGCCUGGAAGAGGGGCGAGGAGCCCGUCCCCAAGGCCUCCGAGCGCUGUCCCGCCGCCGGCACGGCAGAGAAGCCCCCCCCGCUUCUCCUGUCCCCUAACCCCGGGUGUUUCCCCUCUGUCACCGUCGCCUUCGCCGUUUGGCUGGACGCCGAGGCUUUGGGAGCGGUGUUUGUUGCGGUCGCUUUCCUCGUUAGUGUUUGUUCGUCUCCUUCGCUUUCAGGACAAAAGAUUAAAAGGGGGGCGGUGUAGAAUUAAAGAGAGCGCGAGAGAGAGAGAGAGAGAGAAGAACGAGCAGCUGGAGCUCCCCAAACCCAGGCCAGCCCCAGCUGCGGCGGCAGGGAACAAGGGGCAUCGGCUGCCUGGGAAGUUUGGGAAAUUUGCUGAUGGGGGAAUUUGUGCGACUGGAGGGGGAGCCGGUCAUUUACCAAUUCUGUAUAAAAUAGGGGAAAGGUUGACGUGUCCCAGUCACGUGAGCACAUAAUUCAAGCUAUUAUUUUGGCAUUUGGAGUGGGGGUGGAGAAGAAAAGCGGGGAUGGUGAUUCCCAGCCCGCCUCCGGUGAGCCGCUCCCCAAACACCCAUGUGCACCCGCUGGAACCGCAGCCUCGCUCACCCCAAACCCGCCCCAAACCCACCCCAUCCCGACCCCGCCGCAGGUUUUGGCGACCGGGCGGGAGAGUGGUGGUGCGGGGGACGCGAGGAUGCGAGAGGCUGCGGGGGGGGGGGCUGGAGUCUGCGGGGGACUGCGGGGCUGCCGGGGGGGUGCGAGAGGCUGCGGGGCUGCUGGGGGUGCGGGCGUGCCGGGCACCCAUCCCGCAGCAGCCUGGGAGCGGCGCGGAGCCGGGCGUUGUUUUGUUUUGUUGUUUUUUUUUGGAGACAAUUCAAAAGCACUUCCGCUGAGCGAUCGUUAACCUGGUGAGUUAUUGCUCCUCUAAGCAAAGGUCAUGGGGAGAAAAAGGUCUAAUCUGUCAAGGAAAAAACACUGCUCACUCAGGUUCAUUUUGAUUUCUUAUCCGGGCUGGCUUCUGUUUGGGGUUUAAGGAGGUCCUGGACCUUUCGUAACUCUCCCCUCCCUCGGGUUCUCUGAGGAAUGGGAGCGUGGAAACCCAGACUCCUUCAGACCAAAACAAAAAGGACCGAGGGAGGCUGAGCAGCCCCCGGGGAGACGGUGGGUGCCGCGGAGGCCUCCACCCUGCCCCAGUGAGGGCCGAG